UGGUUAAUUUAUGGGCAGAUGGUGGAUGCCUUGGGAGAGGGAGGCGAUGAAGGACGUGGCGUGGCUGCGAUAAGCCUCGGGGAGGUGCUUAGCAACCUUUGAUCCGGGGAUUUCCGAAUGGGGAAACCCAACACGGCUCAACACCGUGUUACCAUGCUGUUUCGCCGUGAAUUCAAAAAUCAAAAUUCAAAAUGCAAAAUUUAUCGCUUCGCGAAAGAAAAAAUAUUUUAUUAAUUUUGAAUUUUGAAUUGUCAUUUUGAUUUUUACAUUUUACAUUUUGAAUUUGCUGCGAAGCAGCGUGGGGCGAACCCGCUGAAGUGAAACAUCUCAGUAAGCGGAGGAAAAGAAAAAAAUGUUUCGCAAUUUUUCGAAUUUUGCGAAGCGCAUUCCCUUAGUAGUGGCGAACGAAAAGGGAGGUAGCUUAAACUUACCAUUGCUUCGCAAUGGUUGGGGUUGUAAGUUAGAUAUGUCCCAGAGCAAUCUGGACAGAGCCUCACAAAAUUGUGAUUUGAUUAGGCGAACUACCCUGGAAAGGGAGGCCAAAGAUGGUAAUAGCCCAGUAGUCGAAAAUCAUCACAUGCUCUGAGUAUCUAUACUUGAGUACCACGGGAAAUGAAAGUCCUGUGGGAAACAGGCAGAACUAUACUGCCAAAGCUAAAUACUACCCUCUCACCGAUAGUGAACUAGUACCGUGAGGGAAAGGUGAAAAGCAGGGAGGUGAUCCCGGUGAAAUAGAACCUGAAACCAUUUUGCCUACAAAGAGUCGGAGCUGAGCACAUAAGAAAUUAUGUGCUUGGUGACGGCGUGCCUAUUGAAGAAUGAGCCAACGAGUCUGAGCACAUAGCUUGUCUAAAUCCUUUUGGGAUGAGGGCACAGCGAAAGCAAGUGUUAAUAGCGCGUUUCUGCUAUGUACUCAGGACCCGAAGCCAAGCGAGCUUGCCAUGACCAGGGUGAAUUCUGACGAAGGUCAGAAGGAGGCCCGAACCCGUGAGCCGUGCAAUACUCUGGGAUGAGUUGUGGUAAGAAGUGAAAAGCUAAUCGAGCUUGGUAAUAGCUGGUUCUCCCCGAAAUAGCUUUAGGGCUAGCCUCUACUUAAGUUUUCUAGAGGUAGAGCACUGAAUGGAAUAUUUUGAGCUUUGCUUAGAUAUUUCAAUCAAACUCCGAAUGCUAGAAAAAUUUGGUAGGGAGUCAGACCUUGAGGGCUAAGCUUCAAGGUCAAAAAGGGAACAGCCUUGAUCGUCAUCUAAGGUCCCAAAAUUUGAGCUAAGUGAUAAAGGAAGUGGAAUUUCUCUGACAACUAGGAGGUUGGCUUAGAAGCAGCAACCCUUUAAAAAGUGCGUAAUAGCUUACUAGUUAAGAGAUUCCGCGCCAAAAAUUUACGGGACUCAAGCUCAAUACCGAAGAUACGGCCCCGUACCAAUUUUGCUCCUGAAAAUCUUUGCGAAGCGCGUGCGACGAAUAGUCGCGUUCCGUCAUGGGCGAAGCGCUUCGCCCCCACGAAGGUUAUGCCUAUUCGGCAUACGCACUUCGCGAUAAAAAUUCAGAGGCAAAAUUGGUACGGGGGGUAGGGGAGCAUCCCUAGCGCAGUGAAGCCCUUUCGUAAGGAAGAGUGGAGUGCCAGGGAGUGAAAAUGUUGGCAUGAGUAACCACAAUUGCCGUGAAAUUCGGCGACACCGAAAGCCCAAGGUUUCCUUGGCAAUGACAAUCAGCCAAGGGUUAGGCGGGCCUUAAGCAAAGUCGAAAGGCGUAGCUGAUGGACAGCCGGUUAAUAUUCCGGCCCCCGCGCACAUAAUCUAAAGAGAUGACGAAGUUUAGUAGUUCGGGCGAGUUAUUGGAUUCUCGUUGCUAAUCUAAGAAUUCUCAAGGGUUAGCAAAAUACUCUGAUUCGUUAGAGUAAAUUCGAAUGAGCAGGCUUCCUAGAAAACUCUCUGAAGAAUUAAUUAUGUGCGUGGUCCGUACCCCAAACCGACACAGGUGGGCUGGCGUAAGAGUGCCAAGGUGAACGGGCGAAACCUCGUUAAGGAACUCGGCAAAAAAGCGGCCGUAACUUAGGAAUAUGGCCUGCCCCGACUCGCAAGAGUUUAGGGGUUGCAACAAAAGUUCCCCUGGCGACUGUUUAUCAAAAACACAGGUCCCUGCUUAACUCGUAAGAGGAUGUAUAGGGGCUGAGGCCUGACCAGUGCUGGAACGUUAACGUUGCCGGUUCUCGCCGCAAGGUGAGGGCUGAGCGACCGAAGCGCCAGUGAACGUCCGCCGUAACUAUAACGGUGUUAAAGUAGGAAAACUGCUUUAGUAAAAUCUGGCUAUAUGCUGGAAAGUCUGGUGAAUCCGGUACUACUUUGAUAUAAUUAAGAUAAGGAAUAAUUUUACCUUAUCAUUAUGAAAAGUAAAAAAGUAUCCGGUGCAGACAAUCAGCAGGAAAGAUCCGCCUUUGGCGGAAAUCCUCAGAGGCCAUACGCCAGACCGAAGCACAUAAUUAAUGAUUAUGUGCUCGGAAGAUAUGGUCCGAACUUCGUGGCGACACGAAGAAUUCCAUUAAAUGGAUUUACCCUCCAAAAUUUUUCAAGGAAAAACUUAGGAGGGUUUAACAAAUUGAGCGUAAUCCCUUGUCAGGUGAGUUCUGACCCGCAUGAAAGGCUUAACGACUGGGGGACUGUCUCAACGAGGCGCCCGGUGAAAAUGCAAUACCGGUAAAGAUGCCGGUUACCUGCGGCUAGACGGAAAGACCCCGGGAGCUUUACUGUAGCCAGAUAUUGAGCUUUGGUUUUAGAUGCGUAGCGUAGGUGGGAGACUUUGAAGUUCCGAUUUCGGUCGGGAUGGAGUCGUCAAUGAAACACCACUCUUUUAAAACCUUGGUUCUAACUCGAAAGAAAACAGUGUCUGGCGGUCAGUUUAAGUGGGGCACUUGCCUCCUAAAAGGUAAUGGAGGCGUUUAAAGGUCGGCUAGCUCCGGAUGGAAAUCGGAGCGGUCGGGCAAAGCCAAAAGCCGGCUUUACUGCAAGGCGGAUAUGCCGCGCAGUUGGGAAACCAGAACUUAGUGAACCGAUGGUGGUUCGUAGAACCGCCAGAGAUCAUCAGCCAAAAGCUACCCCGGGGAUAACAGGCUAGUAGGGCCCGCGAGUCCACAUCAACGGCCCUGUUCGGCACCUCAAAAAUUUACCCGCUUAAGUUUUGCGUAAGCAAAAGUUAGGUGGGUCGCCGACACCCGCCCAAAUUUUCUUUGAAAACUUGUGCGGGCAAGAAUCGGGGUGCUAUGGCAGUAAUGUCAUACCAAAAAUUUGGCUAAUAACGGUGAAACCUUUAAAAAGGUAACACCGUGGGAAGUCAGCGCAUUUUACUUCGUAAAAUGCUAAAAUCAAAAAUAAAAAAUCAAAUAUCAAAAAUUUUGACUUUUGCAUUUUGAGUUUUGAAUUUAGCAAGCGAAGCGAGCGCUUGACCCCGUAGAGACUCAGUCAUCUGAGGUGACUGGAUGGAAGUUUUAACCUUUCAUAAUAUGCCAACCCGAGCAUAUAAAGCGUUAUGUGCUCGGUGAAGAUAUAGUCCAAACUAUUAGAAAUAAUAGAAAAUUGCGAUGUCGGCUCUUCGCAUCCUGGGGGUGAAGCAGCUCCCAAGGGUUAGGCUGUUCGCCUAUUAAAGCGGAACGUGAGCUGGGUUAGUGAAAACUACUGAGCCCAGUAAAAAUCGACUCAUAACGGUGAAACCCAUUAGUUUUUGUGGUAAAAUUAACCAAUGGGCAAUACCGUGGGAAGAUUACAAUCUUUAUUUCCGCCACAUCAAUUAGAUGUGAUUAUUGGAUCAUUGUUGGGCGAUGGAAGAUUAGAAUGUCGUUCCAUUGGUAAAAGAUACCCAAUUAGCGCAAGGUUAAGAAUACAUCAGAGUGAUAAACAAAAAGAAUAUGUCUUUUGGAAGUAUAAUCAAUUGAAAAAUCUUGUACUAAAAGGACCAAGAAGAAUAAAAGUAUGGUAUGAUUCAAAAAGGAAAAAAGAGUAUUAUUCUUGGUACUUCCAUACGAAAACAUCUGGGGAUUUUGGAGAAUUACACCGCUAUUUUUACAAAAAUGGUCAGAAAAUUCUGCCAAUCCAAUUACCAUAAUCCUUAAAAGUAUUUAUUAUUCCUUCAAUGAACUAUAAGAUUUGUAAUCCCCGUAACGACUUUUCCGCUCGGAAUGCGGAAAGAUAGGAGCAUAUUGCUUCUAUAAAACGUCGGUGCUUAAUUACGGAAAUUAAGCAAAGGUAUAGUCUAAUACUGUUAGUAAUAACAGAGAAUAUUGUCAAACCGUCAAUUUGGCGGCUUUCCGUCGUAAGACGAAUUGCAAAACCGACUAAUAUCGGUGAAGUCCAUAAAAUGUUCAACCUGUAAUUUUAUGGAUAAUACCGAGGCAACCGAAGCACAUAACAAGUUUAUGUGCUCGGAAGCCGUAGAGACUUUCCCGAUUUAUCGGGAGGACAGAAGAUUAAAUCUUCUGUAAUACGUCGGUCCCAAGCACAUAAAAUUUUAUGUGCUCGGUGGUGAUAUAGUCCAUACUUUUGGUAACAAAAGAUUAAUAUGCGUGAGACAGGUUGGUCCCUAUCUACCGCAGGCGCCGAGUCUUGAGGGGAGUCGCUCUUAGUACGAGAGGAUCAGAGCGAACCAACCUCUGGUCUACCAGCUGUCUUGCCAAAGGCACCGCUGGGUAGCUAUGUUAGGAACUGAUAAGUGCUGAAAGCAUCUAAGCACGAAGCAGGCCCCAAGAUUAGGACUCAUAGAUUCCUCAGAGACUAUGAGGUUGAUAGGCUCCAGGUGUAAGGGCAGCAAUGCCUUCAGCCAAGGAGUACUAAUAAAUC
RNAcentral lists this ribosomal RNA (4823 nucleotides) under Candidatus Nealsonbacteria bacterium CG23_combo_of_CG06-09_8_20_14_all_36_12. Its description in RNAcentral is "23S ribosomal RNA". The stretch from base 2 to 3222 matches the Rfam family "Bacterial large subunit ribosomal RNA". The record is from RNAcentral. Lineage: Bacteria; Candidatus Nealsoniibacteriota.